AGCAGCCGCGGUAAUUCCAGCUCCAAUAGCGUAUAUUAAAGUUGUUGCAGUUAAAAAGCUCGUAGUUGAAUUUCGGGGUUAGUAGAUUGGUCAUGCCUCUGGUAUGCACUGGUCUCACUGAUUCCUCCUUCCUGAUGAGCCGUAAUGCCAUUAAUUUGGUGUUGCGGGGAAUUUGGACUGUUACUUUGAAAAAAUUAGAGUGUUUAAAGCAAGCUAACGCUUGAAUACAUUAGCAUGGAAUAAUGAAAUAGGACGUUCGAUCCUAUUUUGUUGGUUUCUAGGAUUGACGUAAUGAUUAAUAGGGAUAGUUGGGGGCAUUAGUAUUCAAUUGUCAGAGGUGAAAUUCUUGGAUUUAUUGAAGACUAACUACUGCGAAAGCAUUUGCCAAGGAUGUUUUCAUUAAUCAAGAACGAAAGUUAGGGGAUCGAAGACGAUCAGAUACCGUCGUAGUCUUAACCAUAAACUAUGCCGACUAGGGAUCGGAUGAUGUUAAUUUUUUAAUGACUCAUUCGGCGCCUUA
Molecule: ribosomal RNA, 520 nt
Filed under: uncultured Glomus
Lineage: Eukaryota; Fungi; Glomeromycota; Glomeromycetes; Glomerales; Glomeraceae
Description: SSU rRNA
Rfam family: Eukaryotic small subunit ribosomal RNA
Source: RNAcentral